This 253-nucleotide ribosomal RNA is filed under the name uncultured bacterium. Its description in RNAcentral is "partial 16S ribosomal RNA". It matches the Rfam family "Bacterial small subunit ribosomal RNA", at positions 524 to 776 of the family's 1533-position model. The record is from RNAcentral.
UACGGAGGAUGCAAGCGUUAUCCGGAAUGAUUGGGCGUAAAGCGUCCGCAGGUGGCUGUGUAAGUCUGCUGUUAAAGAGUGAGGCUCAACCUCAUAAAGGCAGUGGAAACUACAUGGCUAGAGUGCGUUCGGGGCAGAGGGAAUUCCUGGUGUAGCGGUGAAAUGCGUAGAGAUCAGGAAGAACACCCGUGGCUAAGGCGGUUCUCUAGUACGGUACUGACGCUGAGACGCGAAAGCGUGGGGAGCGAACAGG